This 849-nucleotide ribosomal RNA is filed under the name human gut metagenome. RNAcentral's name for it is "bacterial LSU rRNA". It matches the Rfam family "Bacterial large subunit ribosomal RNA", at positions 1934 to 2782 of the family's 2925-position model. The record is from RNAcentral.
CCGUAACUAUAACGGUCCUAAGGUAGCGAAAUUCCUUGUCGGGUAAGUUCCGACCUGCACGAAUGGCGUAAUGAUGGCCAGGCUGUCUCCACCCGAGACUCAGUGAAAUUGAACUCGCUGUGAAGAUGCAGUGUACCCGCGGCAAGACGGAAAGACCCCGUGAACCUUUACUAUAGCUUGACACUGAACAUUGAGCCUUGAUGUGUAGGAUAGGUGGGAGGCUUUGAAGCGUGGACGCCAGUCUGCGUGGAGCCAACCUUGAAAUACCACCCUUUAAUGUUUGAUGUUCUAACGUUGGCCCCUGACCGGGGUUGCGGACAGUGUCUGGUGGGUAGUUUGACUGGGGCGGUCUCCUCCCAAAGCGUAACGGAGGAGCACGAAGGUUAGCUAAUCCUGGUCGGACAUCAGGAGGUUAGUGCAAUGGCAUAAGCUAGCUUGACUGCGAGCGUGACGGCGCGAGCAGGUGCGAAAGCAGGUCAUAGUGAUCCGGUGGUUCUGAAUGGAAGGGCCAUCGCUCAACGGAUAAAAGGUACUCCGGGGAUAACAGGCUGAUACCGCCCAAGAGUUCAUAUCGACGGCGGUGUUUGGCACCUCGAUGUCGGCUCAUCACAUCCUGGGGCUGAAGUAGGUCCCAAGGGUAUGGCUGUUCGCCAUUUAAAGUGGUACGCGAGCUGGGUUUAGAACGUCGUGAGACAGUUCGGUCCCUAUCUGCCGUGGGCGCUGGAGAAUUGAGGGGGGCUGCUCCUAGUACGAGAGGACCGGAGUGGACGCAUCACUGGUGUUCGGGUUGUCAUGCCAAUGGCACUGCCCGGUAGCUAAAUGCGGAAGAGAUAAGUGCUGAAAGCAUCU